This 499-nucleotide ribosomal RNA is filed under the name uncultured bacterium. Its description in RNAcentral is "bacterial SSU rRNA". It matches the Rfam family "Bacterial small subunit ribosomal RNA", at positions 28 to 523 of the family's 1533-position model. The record is from RNAcentral.
GAUGAACGCUAGCGGCAGGCUUAAUACAUGCAAGUCGAGGGGCAGCACGGUUAGCAAUAACUGGUGGCGACCGGCGCACGGGUGCGUAACACGUAUACAAUCUACCUUAAACAGGGGGGUAGCCUUUCGAAAGAGAGAUUAAUACCCCGUAAUAAAUUGAACGGCAUCGUUUGAUUUUGAAAGCUCCGGCGGUUUGAGAUGAGUAUGCGUCUGAUUAGCUAGUUGGUGAGGUAACGGCUCACCAAGGCGACGAUCAGUAGGGGAUCUGAGAGGACUAACCCCCACACUGGUACUGAGACACGGACCAGACUCCUACGGGAGGCAGCAGUAAGGAAUAUUGGUCAAUGGAGGCAACUCUGAACCAGCCAUGCCGCGUGCAGGAUGACGGCCCUAUGGGUUGUAAACUGCUUUUAUACAAGAGAAAACCCUGGUACGUGUACCAGGUUGAUAGUAUUGUAAGAAUAAGCAUCGGCUAACUUCGUGCCAGCAGCCGCGGUAA